RNAcentral lists this long non-coding RNA (3598 nucleotides) under Sus scrofa (pig). RNAcentral describes it as "lncRNA (ENSSSCG00060049655.1)". The record is from RNAcentral. Lineage: Eukaryota; Metazoa; Chordata; Mammalia; Artiodactyla; Suidae.
GUUCCCAGGCUAGGGGUCAAAUCAGAGUUGUCGUCACCAGCCUACACCACAGCCACAGCAACUUGGGAUCCAAGCUACAUCUGUGACCUAUACCACAGCUCACGGCAAUGCCGGAUCCUUAACCCACUGAGCGAGGCCAGAGAGCGAACCUGCAACCUCAUGGUGCCUAGUCAGAUUCGUUUCCUCUGUGCCACGACGAGAACGCCAUGUAGGCGCUCUCUUAUCCUCUUCACGUAUUUUAUUUCAGCUACUUAAGAGGUGAAGUUCAAGUGUAUUUUGGUGUUUCUUGUUACAGGCACUCUUAAAAGCUUUUGUGACAGCAAAAGAAAGGAACUAACACUUACAGACUACCCAGUGAACUGGGUUGUUCUUCACUUGUUAUCCUAUUUAAUGCUCACAGCACCUUCAGCAACACCUUGCUGUUGGUGCGCCACAGAUGGAAGGGCAGUGAGGCUUCGUAACGUGCUCAGGUCGGAGGUAGAAGAUGGUCAAGGCGGGUUUCAAGCCUGGGCUCUCCAGCUGAAAGGUGUGUGCUUUGAAGAAGGUGGAAACCAUUAGCUACAGUGUUGUAAAGAGUCUGGUUUAGAGGUUCCCUUGUCUGCCAGUAAUACAACUACUUCCAUUAUGGUGGUAAUUAUAAUUAUACUACUUAUAAUACUAUAAGUAUUAUACUAUAUAUAUAUAUAUAUAAUGGACACCUGGACGCACACACACACACACGGACAGAUAGAAUGAUUACAGCAAAAGGUUGAAACACUUUUGUUGAAUGUUGGGUGUCAUAGCUGUCAUUUUCAUUAAGAACAUACAAUGUAAUUUUACUUCGAUAGUAGAAAAAAGCUGAAUUGAAAACUUAAGGAAUAGUUGAACCUUCAUUCUUUUUCCUUCAUAUAGAUUUUAUUUCCUAAAAGAUUUAAGAAUAAAAUAGCUUCAAAAUAAGAGAGGUUAAAGUAAUUUUUUUUUUCCCAGUCUCAGUAUCAAUUAACCCCCAGCUCUGAGAGAGGGAACAGCAGCUCAUCUUUUGUCCUUUCUUCUGUCUUCUCCCUUCCCAAUUUUUGUUGUUGUUUUUCUAUGUUCCCGUUUUAUGUUAUUCUCAUUCUUAUCUUUUGCUGUUCAUGUUCACUAUGGUAGCCACUUACUGCACGUGGCUAUUUAAACUUACUUUUUCUUUUCUUUUUUGACUGCAGCCUUGGCAUGUGGAAGUUCCCAGGCCAGGGAUCCAACUUGAGCCACAGCAGUGAGCUGAGCCACUGCAAGUGACGCCAGAUCCUUAAGCCAUUGGGCACCAGGGAACUCCUAAACUUAGAUUUACAUGAAAUUACAAAUUUAGUUUUUCAGUCUCAGUAGCCACAUUUUCAGUGCUCAGUAGCCAGAGGUGGCUUGUGGGAUAGUGCACGUAUUAGACAACACUGGCUUCCAAGAAGAGGUCACUGGUGUUGUACUUCCUGAAUUCUUUCAUGUUUGAGAAUGUCUCUUUGCCUUUAUAGCAGAAUGAUAGUUUGGCCUAUACUUUCCGUCAGAACUUUGUAGCAAAAUUUUCGCUGAUAUCUUCUGACAUGGAGUUUUGCUCUAGAGAAAUGGAAAGCCAGCCCAGUGUUGCCCCCAUUCUAUAGGCAGUUUGGUUUUUGUUCCUGGGAACCUUAAAGAUUUUAUAAACAUCUCUUGGUGUGUAGUGUUCUUCCAGAAGUUUCUUUGUUUUCUUUUUCUGGAACAUGUGCUUUUUUGGUUUGCAAAUUUUGUUUGUUCUUCAUUCCCUAUUGUCUCAUAUCUGGGAUCCGUUGCCUAUUCCAGUUCUUAAGUUAUCUUCUUCAGGAAUAUGUCCUCCUAUUAAGUUACUUUUAUCUGCCUUCCAUAUUUACCAGCUUUCUGGUUGUUUUCGUUUCCUUGUUUAUUUUCCAUUCUAAAAAAUGAUGAUCCAAGCUAUAUCACUAUAAACAACAAGGUUUUUCUGUAUAGCACAGGGAACUAUAUUCAGCAUCUUGGAAUAAACCAUAAUGAAAAAGAAUAUAUAAUACACACACAAAGUGACUGAAUCACUUUGCUGUUCACGAGAAACUAACACAACAUUGUAAAUUAACUGUACUUCAGUAAGAAAAAAAAACACAACAUAUCACCAUGAUAGCCGAACUGUUUCACUCUCAGUUGAUCAUCCAGGGUUGUCAGUUUCUUGACUGUCUUAUUUUCCCUUAUUUACUAAUUCUAUAGAGAUGCUGAUUUUUAAUUUGUUUCCUUAUUUCCCUCACAAUGUUAGCUAUCUGUUACUCUCCAGCACUUCACCCCCAAAUUUAGAUAUUAAAACAAACAUAUGCUGACUCAUAGUGUCUGUGGCUCAGGAAUGCAAGCAUAGCUUAGCUGGGUGACUCUUGCUCACAAGGAUUUAAUCAAAAUGUCAGCUGGGGCAACAGGAUCCUAAGGCUCGAUCGGGAAAGGUUUUACUUCCAAACUCCCCCCCUGUGACGGAUAUUGGCAGAAGGUCUCAGGUACUUACUGGCUAUUGGCUGGAGACAUUUUUUUCUCAACACAUGGGCUUCUCCGUAGGGCAGCUCACAACGUGGCAGCCAGCUUUCCUCAGCUCAAGAGACGGUGCCCAGGAUAGAGACCACAGUCUUUUUGAACCCUUAGCUCAAAGUGGUAUCACAUCAUCACUCAGCCACUGCUGUUUGCUAGAAACAAAUCAUUAAGCCCAGCCCCCACACAAGGGGAGGGGAUUCUCUAAGAGUGGGAAAACCAAGAGAUGAAGAUCCUGGAGCCCAUCUUAGAUGCCGCCUACCACACCCUCUUUUUCAUUUCAUUGUGUUAUAUCUGCCUUUGGGCUCUUGAGUUUUCUCCUUAGCCAUUAACUCCUGUUUCUCACAUUUUGUUUUCUUUUAGGUUGGGCACAUGCAUGCCUUCCGUUCCCCUUUUAUACUGUGUUUUUGAUAGAAACACACUUAAAGUCAUGCCAUCUGUUUCAACCUUGAUCUCAAGUGGCUCUGUUCACACAUUCUGUUUGCUUUAAUAUAGUGUGGGUGGCUUUUUUAUAUGCUUCCCUUUGUAUCUGAGACCAGUUUGAUUUCCCGUCAAGCUACAGUUUGAAGGCGGGGUAUUUUGGCUGGUCUGCUUUUAUGUGGCUCUUGAGGAUGGUCUCUGGAGGAAGAAAGCAGUUGAGGUGAGGAGAUUAAACAUCAGAAUACCGGGAUUCCUACUCUCUUCUGAGGUCAUGGUAGAGAUAUGUCAGAGUUUACCCCUGCUUGGGAUGGGGUUUGACGGGGCUGGGUCUGCUUCCACCGGGACGUCGUGUUAACUCUGCCUCCCAAACGGCCAUUCCCCAUACUCUGCAGAAGGAAGGGAAAGCGUAUUUGCUGGAGUAGGGAGAUGGGCUGAGGGAACUUUAAGGGGAUGAUAGAAUUACUCUGAAACUAAAUUAUGAUGACAGUUGUACAACUUCUAAACUGAAACUCAUCAAAAUAGAAAUUUGAAACAGGUAUAUUUCAUAUGUAUGCUAGUUUGCUACUAUUUAUUGGAUGGUAUGUAAACAAAAAAGUCCCACCUAAAAAUGCAAAUUAGAUUUUAUUACUUUCUGACUGUAAAAUCAGUAGCAAAAAAGGAAAAAAAAAAAAAA